GUAGGUGGCAAGCGUUGUCCGGAAUUAUUGGGCGUAAAGCGCGCGCAGGCGGGGUCCUUUAAGUCUGAUGUGAAAGCCCACGGGCUCAACCGUGGAGGGUCAUUGGAAACUGGGGGACUUGAGUACAGAAGAGGAAAGCGGAAUUCCAAGUGUAGCGGUGAAGUGCGUAGAGAUUUGGAGGAACACCAGUGGCGAAGGCGGCUUUCUGGUCUGUAACUGACGCUGAGGCGCGAAAGCGUGGGGAGCAAACAGGAUUAGAUACCCUGGUAGUCCACGCCGUAAACGAUGAGUGCUAAGUGUUAGGGGGUUUCCGCCCCUUAGUGCUGCAGCUAACGCAUUAAGCACUCCGCCUGGGGAGUACGGCCGCAAAGGCUG
This 375-nucleotide ribosomal RNA is filed under the name uncultured organism. RNAcentral describes it as "partial 16S ribosomal RNA". It matches the Rfam family "Bacterial small subunit ribosomal RNA", at positions 527 to 896 of the family's 1533-position model. The record is from RNAcentral.